GUGGGGAAUCUUGCGCAAUGGGCGAAAGCCUGACGCAGCCAUGCCGCGUGAAUGAUGAAGGUCUUAGGAUUGUAAAAUUCUUUCACCGGGGACGAUAAUGACAGUACCCGGAGAAGAAGCCCCGGCUAACUUCGUGCCAGCAGCCGCGGUAAUACGAAGGGGGCUAGCGUUGCUCGGAAUUACUGGGCGUAAAGGGCGCGUAGGCGGACCGUUUAGUCAGAGGUGAAAGCCCAGGGCUCAACCUUGGAAUUGCCUUUGAUACUGGCUGUCUUGAGUACGGGAGAGGUGGGUGGAACUCCGAGUGUAGAGGUGAAAUUCGUAGAUAUUCGGAAGAACACCAGUGGCGAAGGCGACUCACUGGCCCGUUACUGACGCUGAGGCGCGAAAGCGUGGGGAGCAAACAGGAUUAGAUACCCGUGUAGUCC
Molecule: ribosomal RNA, 425 nt
Filed under: uncultured bacterium
Lineage: Bacteria
Description: partial 16S ribosomal RNA
Rfam family: Bacterial small subunit ribosomal RNA
Source: RNAcentral